RNAcentral lists this ribosomal RNA (253 nucleotides) under uncultured bacterium. Its description in RNAcentral is "partial 16S ribosomal RNA". It matches the Rfam family "Bacterial small subunit ribosomal RNA", at positions 524 to 776 of the family's 1533-position model. The record is from RNAcentral.
UACGGGGGGGGCAAGCGUUGUUCGGAAUUACUGGGCGUAAAGGGCUCGUAGGCGGCCAACUAAGUCAGACGUGAAAUCCCUCGGCUUAACCGGGGAACUGCAUCUGAUACUGGAUGGCUUGAGUUCGGGAGAGGGAUGUGGAAUUCCAGGUGUAGCGGUGAAAUGCGUAGAUAUCUGGAGGAACACCGGUGGCGAAGGCGGCAUCCUGGACCGACACUGACGCUGAUGAGCGAAAGCCAGGGGAGCAAACGGG